AACACACUAAAAACCCCACCGCUCCCCAUUCAGGCCGUACAAAGAGAGAGAAAGAGUAUGCGGCGACGGAGGGAGAGAGAGAGCGCGACGGAGGUAGAGUAAGCUAGAGAGAGGCACGGCGGUGAUGGAGGAACCGGUUACGGUUCCGGCCGACGGUAAUGUUGUCGAUCGUUGCUGAAAGCAAACUUGACGGCCGGGGGUUCUAGGGUUUGCGGCGACGGAGGGAGAGAGAGAGCGCGACGGAGGUAGAGUAAGCUAGAGAGAGGCACGGCGGUGAUGGAGGAACCGGUUACGGUUCCGGCCGACGGUAAUGUUGUCGAUCGUUGCUGAAAGCAAACUUGACGGCCGGGGGUUCUAGGGUUUGUGACGGUAUGAUCGGUAGUCUUUGGUGGCGGCGAACGUGGUCUGUGACAGAGAGCAACGAGGUAUGUUAGAUCGGAUGCUGCGCCAACUCUUACAAUGACGACGGUCAAGCGGUUAGGGUUUCGACCAACUUCCGGUAACAUCCGGUUAGCUUCCGACGAGGAUUCGGUGAACGGGCAGGCGAAGAUUCCGGUGAACAGUGAUUUUAUGUGAUGUAUAGAGGGGCAAUCGAUUCCAACCGAGCUUCGAAACGAGGAUGCUGCUCUUUGUUAAGCGACUGACCUUGAAGAUGAACGCACUGCAGAAGGGGGAAAGAAACCCCAAAUCGCUGCUGACCUGCUGUUGUUGUUCGAGUCCGAGGGCAGGGGUCUUGAACUUGCUCGAUUUCUUCACGAAUCACGGCUCAUCCUCAGGUUGAAAUUGGGGGUGAAUUUUAGCCCUAAACUUGUUGAAAUUGUCAAUCGUCGACGGAUUCUUCUUGAAUCUUCAUAAGAUUAUGCUAUGGGAUUGACCGGCUGCUGCUGUGCCUGCUCUUGUUCGACUGCAAGCUGCUGCGCUACUUGUUGUGGUCUUGUUUGACUUCUUCAAUCUUCAUAAGGUUAAAGGUGGUCUCAGAUGUCACACCAUUUGCCUGGAAGGAUGGAUACCGAGAUAAAGAACCAUUGGCAUUCAUAUCUGAAGAAGUAAGCACACAACUUGGAUAACAAGAAAUCUCAAGACACAAAAUAAACAAACACCAUGUACAAGAACAGUCUCAAGUCUUGAAUCUUCAGAAUCAGUUUGCUUACAUGUCGGAAUAAAAAGACCCGCCGCAAAGUGAUUACACAGUUUUAAAGCGCGUCACGUGUUUACUUGGUAAUUAGUUUUAGGUAAUUUAGUUGUUAAAUUUGUUGACGUGUUAGAUUCCUUUGCGUUUGGAAUUUGUAACGAGGGCUCAUUGGGAUUUUAUUACACUUAAAGAGAAGUUUGCGAGUUCUGAUGAAUUU
RNAcentral lists this long non-coding RNA (1349 nucleotides) under Helianthus annuus (common sunflower). The record is from RNAcentral. Lineage: Eukaryota; Viridiplantae; Streptophyta; Magnoliopsida; Asterales; Asteraceae.